GACGAACGCUGGCGGCGUGCCUAACACAUGCAAGUCGAACGGAAAGGCCCUGCGUUUGUGGGGUGCUCGAGUGGCGAACGGGUGAGUAACACGUGAGUAACCUGCCCUUGACUUUGGGAUAACUUCAGGAAACUGGGGCUAAUACCGGAUAGGAGCUUCUGCUGCAUGGUGGGGGUUGGUAAGUUUCGGCGGUUGGGGAUGGACUCGCGGCUUAUCAGCUGGUUGGUGGGGUAGUGGCUUACCAAGGCUUUGACGGGUAGCCGGCCUGAGAGGUUGAACGGCCACAUUGGGACUGAGAUACGGCCCAGACGCCUACGGGAGGCAGCAGUGGGGAAUAUUGCACAAUGGGCGGAAGCCUGAUGCAGCAACGCCGCGUGCGGGAUGACGGCUUUCGGGUUGUAAACCGCUUUCGCCUGUGACGAAGCGUGAGUGACGGUAAUGGGUAAAGAAGCACCGGCUAACUACGUG
This 468-nucleotide ribosomal RNA is filed under the name uncultured bacterium. Its description in RNAcentral is "partial 16S ribosomal RNA". It matches the Rfam family "Bacterial small subunit ribosomal RNA", at positions 28 to 507 of the family's 1533-position model. The record is from RNAcentral.